AUUGAACGCUGGCGGCAUGCCUUACACAUGCAAGUCGAACGGCAGCACGGGUGCUUGCACCUGGUGGCGAGUGGCGAACGGGUGAGUAAUACAUCUGAACAUGUCCUGUAGUGGGGGAUAGCCCGGCGAAAGCCGGAUUAAUACCGCAUACGAUCUACGGAUGAAAGCGGGGGACCUUCUGGCCUCGCGCUUUAGGGUUGGCCGAUGGCUGAUUAGCUAGUUGGUGGGGUAAAGGCCUACCAAGGCGACGAUCAGUAGCUGGUCUGAGAGGAUGACCAGCCACACUGGGACUGAGACACGGCCCAGACUCCUACGGGAGGCAGCAGUGGGGAAUUUUGGACAAUGGGCGAAAGCCUGAUCCAGCAAUGCCGCGUGUGUGAAGAAGGCCUUCGGGUUGUAAAGCACUUUUGUCCGGAAAGAAAUACUUGGCCCUAAUACGGUCGGGGGAUGACGGUACCGGAAGAAUAAGCACCGGCUAACUACGUG
Molecule: ribosomal RNA, 486 nt
Filed under: uncultured bacterium
Lineage: Bacteria
Description: partial 16S ribosomal RNA
Rfam family: Bacterial small subunit ribosomal RNA
Source: RNAcentral